UUGACUGCAAACCCAUCCGCUGUGCAGGAGAAGGGUUUUCUAGCACAAUGAUUGGAAGACUGGCCGCUCUGAUUCUUCUUGGUACAGUGUAUCUGAUUCAAACUGCAGAGGUUCCUCAACAGGUCUCUUUGACUUUGGUUGAACUUGGUGGAAAUGUUACGUUGUGGUGUCCAGUUUUCAGAGAAGGAUACUUUUACUGGUACAAGCAGACUUUGGGACAUAUGAUCCAAACAGUUGCUAGAGUAACUUUCACUGGACAGAAACUUAGUCUGCAAUUGAACAACACACGUUUCAAAGUCACAGGAGGGAAGACUCAGUAUUCUCUUACCAUCAGAAAUAUAACCAAAGAGGACGAAGCAACAUAUUUCUGUCUCAAUGGAACAGCGUAUGGACAAAGUUUUGUCAACGGCACCUUCUUGGCUGUUAAAGAUCGUAAGCAGCAGAGAUCUUUCUACGUGAAACAAAGUCCGCUCACUGAGUCGGUCCAGCCGGGCGACUCGGUGACUCUCCAGUGUUCACUUGUCUCCAGGAACAAAGAAGACAGAGUCCAGUGUCCAGUGCCUAAGGAAUAA
This is a non-coding RNA of Cyclopterus lumpus (lumpfish), 572 nucleotides long. Lineage: Eukaryota; Metazoa; Chordata; Actinopteri; Perciformes; Cyclopteridae. The record is from the annotation of a RefSeq genome assembly.